CCGCGGUAAUACGAAGGGAGCUAGCGUUGUUCGGAAUCACUGGGCGUAAAGCGCACGUAGGCGGAUGUGUCAGUCAGGGGUGAAAUCCCGGAGCUCAACUUCGGAACUGCCCUUGAUACAGCACGUCUCGAGUCCGAGAGAGGUGAGUGGAAUUCCUAGUGUAGAGGUGAAAUUCGUAGAUAUUAGGAAGAACACCAGUGGCGAAGGCGGCUCACUGGCUCGGUACUGACGCUGAGGUGCGAAAGCGUGG
This 250-nucleotide ribosomal RNA is filed under the name uncultured bacterium. RNAcentral's name for it is "partial 16S ribosomal RNA". It matches the Rfam family "Bacterial small subunit ribosomal RNA", at positions 515 to 764 of the family's 1533-position model. The record is from RNAcentral.